This 429-nucleotide ribosomal RNA is filed under the name Pseudomonadota bacterium. RNAcentral describes it as "Proteobacteria bacterium partial 16S ribosomal RNA". It matches the Rfam family "Bacterial small subunit ribosomal RNA", at positions 355 to 776 of the family's 1533-position model. The record is from RNAcentral. Lineage: Bacteria; Pseudomonadati; Pseudomonadota.
UGGGGAAUAUUGGACAAGGGGCGAAAGCCUAAUCCAGCCAUGCGCCGUGUGUGAGGAAGGUCUUCGGAUUGUAAAGCACUUUAAGUGGGGAGGAAGGGCAGUAAGCGAUUACCUUGCUGUUUUGACGUUACCGACAGAAUAAGCACAGGUUAAUUCUGUGCCACAAGCCGCGGUAAUACAGAGGGUCCAGGCGUUAAUCGGAAUUACUGGGCGUAAAGCGCGCGUAGGUGGUUCGUUAAGUUGAAUGUGAAAGCCCCGGGCUCAACCUGGGAACUGCAUCCAAAACUGGCGAGCUAGAGUAGGGCAGAGGGUGGUGGAAUUUCCUGUGUAGCGGUGAAAUGCGUAGAUAUAGGAAGGAACGCCAGUGGCGAAGGCGACCACCUGGGCUCAUACUGACACUGAGGUACGAAAGCAUGGGGAGCAAACAGG